RNAcentral lists this ribosomal RNA (746 nucleotides) under uncultured bacterium. RNAcentral describes it as "bacterial SSU rRNA". It matches the Rfam family "Bacterial small subunit ribosomal RNA", at positions 33 to 773 of the family's 1533-position model. The record is from RNAcentral.
ACGCUGGCGGCAGGCCUAACACAUGCAAGUCGAGCGGUAGAGAGAAGCUUGCUUCUCUUGAGAGCGGCGGACGGGUGAGUAAUGCCUAGGAAUCUGCCUGGUAGUGGGGGAUAACGUUCGGAAACGGACGCUAAUACCGCAUACGUCCUACGGGAGAAAGCAGGGGACCUUCGGGCCCUUGCGCUAUCAGAUGAGCCUAGGUCGGAUUAGCUAGUUGGUGGGGUAAUGGCUCACCAAGGCGACGAUCCGUAACUGGUCUGAGAGGAUGAUCAGUCACACUGGAACUGAGACACGGUCCAGACUCCUACGGGAGGCAGCAGUGGGGAAUAUUGGGCAAUGGGCGAAAGCCUGAUCCAGCCAUGCCGCGUGUGUGAAGAAGGUCUUCGGAUUGUAAAGCACUUUAAGUUGGGAGGAAGGGUUGUAGAUUAAUACUCUGCAAUUUUGACGUUACCGACAGAAUAAGCACCGGCUAACUCUGUGCCAGCAGCCGCGGUAAUACAGAGGGUGCAAGCGUUAAUCGGAAUUACUGGGCGUAAAGCGCGCGUAGGUGGUUAGUUAAGUUGGAUGUGAAAUCCCCGGGCUCAACCUGGGAACUGCAUUCAAAACUGACUGACUAGAGUAUGGUAGAGGGUGGUGGAAUUUCCUGUGUAGCGGUGAAAUGCGUAGAUAUAGGAAGGAACACCAGUGGCGAAGGCGACCACCUGGACUGAUACUGACACUGAGGUGCGAAAGCGUGGGGAGCAAAC